Molecule: ribosomal RNA, 171 nt
Filed under: uncultured bacterium
Lineage: Bacteria
Description: partial 16S ribosomal RNA
Rfam family: Bacterial small subunit ribosomal RNA
Source: RNAcentral
UUUCCUACGGGAGGCAGCAGUGGGGAAUUUGGACAAUGGGGAAAGCCUGAUCCAGCAAUGCCGCGUGGGUAAGAAGGCCUUCGGGUUUAAAGCACUUUGGCUGGGAGGAAAUCCAGGGGGUUAAUACCGUGGGGGUGACGUUACCCGAAGAAUAGCACCGGCUUAUUUUGG